This 301-nucleotide ribosomal RNA is filed under the name uncultured bacterium. RNAcentral describes it as "partial 16S ribosomal RNA". It matches the Rfam family "Bacterial small subunit ribosomal RNA", at positions 509 to 807 of the family's 1533-position model. The record is from RNAcentral.
CAGCCGCCGCGGGAAAACGUAGGUGGCAAGCGUUGUCCGGAAUUAUUGGGCGUAAAGGGCUCGCAGGCGGUUUCUUAAGUCUGAUGUGAAAGCCCCCGGCUCAACCGGGGAGGGUCAUUGGAAACUGGGAAACUUGGGUGCAGAAGAGGAGAGUGGAAUUCCACGUGUAGCGGUGAAAUGCGUAGAGAUGUGGAAGAACACCAGUGGCGAAGGCGACUCUCUGGUCUGUAACUGACGCUGAGGAGCGAAAGCGUGGGGAGCGAACAGGAUUAGAUACCCCAGUAGUCCUUGUCUCUUAUAC